This is a microRNA precursor of Brassica oleracea var. oleracea, 125 nucleotides long. It matches the Rfam family "MIR9563 microRNA precursor family". Lineage: Eukaryota; Viridiplantae; Streptophyta; Magnoliopsida; Brassicales; Brassicaceae. The record is from Rfam.
AGAAAUAAAGAAACUGUUUAUUAACUUUUAACUAAAAAAGUUAGGAACCGGUUCUUAAAUAAGGACUUUAAGAAUUGGUUCUUAGCUUUUUUAGUUAAAAGUUAAGAAACAGUUUCUUAAAUUCC